Ribosomal RNA from Erinaceus europaeus (western European hedgehog), 118 nucleotides. The record is from Ensembl. NCBI's taxonomy places the organism in Eukaryota, Metazoa, Chordata, Mammalia, Eulipotyphla, Erinaceidae.
GUCUACGGCCAUACCACCCUGAACAUGCCCAAUCUUGUCUGAUCGUGGAAGCUAAGCAGGGUCAGGCCUGGUUAGUACUUGGGAUGGGAGAAAAUAGAAAGACAGACACUUGCAGAUC